Molecule: ribosomal RNA, 900 nt
Filed under: Triticum aestivum (bread wheat)
Lineage: Eukaryota; Viridiplantae; Streptophyta; Magnoliopsida; Poales; Poaceae
Description: partial small subunit ribosomal RNA
Source: RNAcentral
AUGCCGACAGAUGUGGGUCAGUCAAAGAAUGGCACAUUCAAAUAUUUACGCAAUAGAGUGUGGGAGAAAGUGAUGGGAUGGAUGCAGAAGCUCUUGUCAGCGGCAGGAAAGGAGAUCCUCAUUAAAUCAGUAGCGCAAGCAAUCCCAGUUUACUCUAUGUCUUGUUUCAGACUGCCGAGAGGGCUUUGCGAGAAUGUCACAUCUAUCAUCCAUCAGUUCUGGUGGGGCAGCAAGCGGGGGAAGCGUAAACUAGGUUGGCUGGCUUAUGAUGUUAUGACCAGACCGAAGCAUAUGGGAGGCAUGGGUUUUCGAGAUCUCGAGCUUUUCAAUCUAGCUUUGUUGGCAAGACAAGCGUGGAAGCUACUGAAUGAUACAGAAUGCUUGAGUGCUAGACUGCUCAAGGCAAUAUACUAUCCCGGGACCUUGCUCCUCCUAGCUGAACUGGGUUCUAACCCGUCUCAGAUUUGGAGAGCCAUUAUAGACGGUAGAGAUGUACUGGCGCAAGGAAUAAUGAGAAGAAUUGGGGAUGGAGCUACUACCAGAAUAUGGGAUCACAAUUGGAUACCACGUGCAAGCUUUAAACAGCCGAUUACUUCAUUGCUUCAAGCACCUCCACAACUGGUGUCAGAAUUGAUUGAAACGGCCACGACUUCCUGGAGGGAGGAGCUCAUUCAAUCUGCGUUCAUAGCCUUUGAUGCUGAAUCCAUUCUUCAAAUACCAUUGUGCACUAGAUGGGUUGAUGAUUAUUGGGCCUGGAGUGAAGAACCUCGAGGGUAUUUCUCUGUUGGCUCGGCAUACCGCAUGUUGGUGCGUACCAAAUAUGAUAGAGAAGGAUGGCUUGAGGGCAGGGAGACACCAUCAAGCAGCAAGGGAAACAAGGAGGAGUGGAAGGCAAUCUAG